GGGGNCAUAGCUCAGUGGUAGAGCAUUUGACUAGCGUGUGUGAGGGCCUGGGUUCAAUUCCCAGUCUUCA
Molecule: transfer RNA, 70 nt
Filed under: Neotoma lepida (desert woodrat)
Lineage: Eukaryota; Metazoa; Chordata; Mammalia; Rodentia; Cricetidae
Rfam family: tRNA
About the family: Transfer RNA (tRNA) molecules are approximately 80 nucleotides in length. Their secondary structure includes four short double-helical elements and three loops (D, anti-codon, and T loops).
Source: Rfam by way of RNAcentral